Molecule: long non-coding RNA, 3112 nt
Filed under: Callithrix jacchus (white-tufted-ear marmoset)
Lineage: Eukaryota; Metazoa; Chordata; Mammalia; Primates; Cebidae
Description: lncRNA (ENSCJAG00000082066.1)
Source: RNAcentral
CUUGGAGUCUGGGUGGCCAUACAGUGAACAAACACGAUGCCUAAGAAGAUUACAGGAGAGGUGGGGAUGGCAGUGAUGAGCUGGAGGAAGAGCAGGCUUUAAUGGUGCCGCUAACGUUGCCUUUCCUUAAAAUGACUCGCAAUGCUCACAGACAUUCAGACCCCGGCGCUUAGAUCACGUCUCCGGCUUGGAACUCCCGCUGGUUUAGAAUCUCACUGCUGGGAAGCAUCACCUGUUCCUGGACCCGAAAGGCAGUGUGGUCAAGUGGUUACAGACUCAAGCCAGAGCUUCCUCCACGUUCCUGAGGGUGCACUGGUUUUCCUUCCUGUCUGGCCACACAAGCCUCUGGAGAGUGCCCAUCCAUCUUACAGGCUCACUUUGUAUUCUGUAAACUUUCAGUGUGAAAAUAAACGCAUUGCCUCCCUGUCAGAGCUCUACCGUGCAUGGGUAUUUCUUAAGAGCCAGGGCGGAUGAUACAGACAGACCAAGUAUUUCCAAGGAAACCAAAGGGGCAUAAUUGCUUCUUUCCAGGUAAUGUGGAUGCACCGGAUGGGGUCGGCUGCAUCACAGUGGAUCAUUUUCUUGUUAGCGUCUGGCCAGAGUGAUGUGAGGACCACGGGCUUCCUGAGUGAUGCUGCAUAGGCUCAUCUGCAAGUGACAAAGACCAAAAUGAAAAUAGAGCGUGGAGACACUAGCUGGAUGCUCUGCGUCCCCUUCAAAGACCCACGGUGGAUUUGUCUCCUGAGACAUACUAUUGCUGGGACUUUUUUUCUUUUCAUUGUCUUCUUAUCUUUUCAGAUGUCUUUUUUUUUUUUGUAUUUCAUUUUUACUCUGAGACAAAAGAUUUUUCUCUUUUUUUCCUCUCAGCGAUUAAAAUCUUUCCAUCAACCAGAUAUUCCUAAGGGAGAUACAUGAUGCAAGAUUUGGCAGGGUGGGGGUGUAAGUGUGCACUGAUGGAGAGAGCAGUCACGGAGUACAGACUGUCUGAUGACCUCAAAAUCAAGCCCCUGAUUAAUCACGAUCUGCCUAGACAAAGAAAUGGGAUCACAGACCCAUGAUGACAAUGACUUCCAUUAAUUGCAACGACCCUGUUUUAGCCUCAGGACCUUGCACUUGCUGUGUUUUCCACCAGGAAUGUGCUGCAGCCUGCGCUUGGUGUCUGUCUCACCAUUCCUUUCUCUACUUAAAUGUCUCCUAUUCUAGAAGACCAACCCUGAUUGUUCAAAAAGAACUUGCCUCUUUUAUUCUCAAUUCACCUUGUUUUAUCUGCCUCAUAGAAUUAGAGCUCUCUGAAAUUCCUAUUUGUGAAUGACUUUAUGGUCUAUUUCUCAUCUGUACAAAAUAAACUCCAGAGAGCAAGAACUUUGUCUUGUUCAAUGCUGUCUCAUCAGUGCCCAGAACAGUGCCCGACACAGGCACUAUCCUAAGUGCUUUAUGAUGAUGUGUCAAUGAUUCUUAAAUGACAGCCUUUCAUUGAAAUGGUUUCUGGGAGGUUAAUUUAUUUGUUCAAAAUCCCACCACUGUUAGUUAGUAGGAGAUAAGCCAUUCAAAUGGAGGCUUGUUGAGAUUCAAAGCCCAGGCUUUAAACAACCCUGCUAAACUGCCUCCCCUAGCAUAGAGCAUUCAUCUUGGAAGUGGUUUGGGCCAUUGUGUUGCCAGGCUUCACUAGAAUGUGAGCCCUGGAGAGCCAGAGACGGAGUCUGUUGCAUCCACAGCACCCAGCACUGUUUGCCACGUGGUAGACAUUCAAUGAACAGUAAAUGCUCAAACAGUAUUUGUAGAUAGAUGGACAGAUGGGUGAGUGGGUGGAUGGUUGAAUGGAUGGAUGGGUGGAUGAAUGAAUGAAUAGAAAAGAGGGAGAAAAGAAGAUAGAAAGGGAGGACAGAAGGAAGGGUAGGUAGAGGGAUAGCUGAAUUGUUGGAUGGAUGCAUGGAUUCGUGAAUAUAUGGAUGAGUAGGUGGGUGUAUGGAUAGGUGGGUAGAUGAAUAGGGAAACAGAAUCCCAGAGAGACUGGUGACUCACUUAAUAUCACACAGCAAGUCAGCAGAGGGAGGAGAAAUCCAAACUCAGGGCCCCUAUCCUAGUGCUCACUCUCUCACAACACCAAAUAUUUGAGAAUGAAAUUGAAUGUUUUCCUUACAGUCUAGGUAGGUAUGAUAAUGGCGAUAAUUGCUCCAACUGUGUAGCAAAAAACUGGGCUAAAUGCUUUAGUCCAUUAGUUCAUGGGAUCUUCUCUAGAACCCUAGGAAAUAAGUGCUGUAAUAGCCCCUCAUCCUCAAGGACAUUAUUAUCCAUUUAUGUCAAUCACUCCAUGUGAUAAGUGUUAUUUUUAUCCCUACUUCUCAAAAGAGGAAAAUAAAGCUCAGAGAGGUUAAGUAACUUGCCCUUGUCAUCCUGUAAGGAAGAGGUGAGGCUAGGAUAUAACCCUUUGCCACCACUGUACUAAUUUUAACCGCAUAAGAGCUGAUGCUCUGUUUAUCACAUGGCAAAAUACAAGGCGAAUAGAAUUGUAGGCACACACCAUCUAAUCAGCAGAGAAGCUAAAAUUAUCUCCCCAGGCGGCAUUUGGGUAGCAGGAAGCUCACCCUGACACCAGAAACUAGGCAGGAAGGGCCCUAUUAGAUAGACCACAGCCCGGGCAAAAGGUAAACCAAGUGUAUGAUAUCAAGCAAGUUACUUUGCCUCCCUGAACCUCAGUUUCUUCAUCUGUAAAAUGGCUAUCAAAAUGUGAUGGAUGAAGAUUUUUAUCUGCAAGCUGUUCUAGUCCCUCUCAGAAUUCUAUUCCUAUUAGGCUAUUUCUUCUUCCAAAAAUAGUCUUCAUAUUGUUCCUAAAUAAUCACUUUGCAUUCCCAACACCACACUCUCAGACAAUCAGGUCUGCAUCCUGUUUUCUCAAAACUUUCCUCUGUGCCUUGUUUUAGCCAGCAAAUGGAAUGAGUAAAUCUCCACCCACAUGUUCAACGGGUUAAUGGUUUACAGUGCCACUUCUUCCUCAUAAGACACCUGCAUGCAAGAAAUGAUCUAGGAAUUCAAUGUACUUACCAAAGGUAGUAACCCCGUGGGUGCACUUUUAGUGACUGUGGCCCUUCUGGUUGUGAGGAGGAGUUGAAGC